This is a non-coding RNA of Pogona vitticeps (central bearded dragon), 454 nucleotides long. The record is from RefSeq and is a predicted model, not a curated record. Lineage: Eukaryota; Metazoa; Chordata; Lepidosauria; Squamata; Agamidae.
AAAAACACACACCGAAUACCAUCAAGGACCGUUUUCCUGAACACGGUUAAGCAAACAACAAUUCCAUAGCUUGAGCUGGAAUGUGUCAGAACAUCCUUCUACACUAGAAGAGGAGCAGGAAAACAUCAUUGUCCAUGGAGGGAUUUCUUCAGCAAAGAGACGUGUCAGGUCUCUGACCUUUUGGAGGGUGAAGAGUGAACUGUCCCUGAAGACCCAGGGCUCUUGGAGUGUAGGACGUUCCACCUGUGGAUGGAAGCAGCAGGGCCCUAGAAUCAGAUGAAAGAUUUUCAGCCCUUUUGGCUUUUAGGAUCUGACACCCCAUUCUCUCAAUGCACCCCUUUCUCUCAAGUCACAUCAUGUUAAAGCACGAUUACGGAGAAACAGAGGAUCCCAGCACAGAAGAGUUAAGAAGUAAUAUGCGGUUGAAUGCCAGCCAUUAAGUUGUAGCCCGUGG